AUUGAACGCUGGCGGCAUGCCUUACACAUGCAAGUCGAACGGCAGCACGGGAGCAAUCCUGGUGGCGAGUGGCGAACGGGUGAGUAAAGUAUCGGAACGUGCCCAGUCGUGGGGGACAACGUAGCGAAAGUUACGCUAAUACCGCAUACGAUCUAUGGAUGAAAGCGGGGGAUCGCAAGACCUCGCGCGAUUGGAGCGGCCGAUAUCAGAUUAGGUAGUUGGUGGGGUAAAGGCUCACCAAGCCGACGAUCUGUAGCUGGUCUGAGAGGACGACCAGCCACACUGGGACUGAGACACGGCCCAGACUCCUACGGGAGGCAGCAGUGGGGAAUUUUGGACAAUGGGCGCAAGCCUGAUCCAGCCAUGCCGCGUGCAGGAUGAAGGCCUUCGGGUUGUAAACUGCUUUUGUACGGAACGAAAAGGUUUGGCCUAAUAAGCUGAGCUCAUGACGGUACCGUAAGAAUAAGCACCGGCUAACUACGUGCCAGCCGCCGCAGUAA
This 500-nucleotide ribosomal RNA is filed under the name uncultured bacterium. RNAcentral describes it as "partial 16S ribosomal RNA". It matches the Rfam family "Bacterial small subunit ribosomal RNA", at positions 30 to 523 of the family's 1533-position model. The record is from RNAcentral.